RNAcentral lists this transfer RNA (67 nucleotides) under Xystodesmus serrulatus. RNAcentral describes it as "tRNA-Val". Lineage: Eukaryota; Metazoa; Arthropoda; Diplopoda; Polydesmida; Xystodesmidae. The record is from RNAcentral.
CAUAUUAGAGUUUAUUUAUGAAUUUUUCCGUUACAUUGAAAAGGUCUCGUUUUGGGUAAUAUGAAAG